UCCCUGGUGGUUCAGUGGUUGGGGCACUGCGUUUCCACUGCAGAGGGCACAGGUUUGAUCCCUAGUCAAGGAA
This 73-nucleotide transfer RNA is filed under the name Bos taurus (domestic cattle). It matches the Rfam family "tRNA". From Rfam's summary of the family: Transfer RNA (tRNA) molecules are approximately 80 nucleotides in length. The record is from Rfam by way of RNAcentral. Lineage: Eukaryota; Metazoa; Chordata; Mammalia; Artiodactyla; Bovidae. RNAcentral also lists the same sequence under 5 other names.